Molecule: ribosomal RNA, 447 nt
Filed under: uncultured bacterium
Lineage: Bacteria
Description: bacterial SSU rRNA
Rfam family: Bacterial small subunit ribosomal RNA
Source: RNAcentral
UAGGGAAUCUUGCGCAAUGGACGAAAGUCUGACGCAGCAACGCCGCGUGUAGGAUGAAGCCUCUAGAGGUGUAAACUACUGUCAGCAGGGAAGAAAUUGACUGUACCUGCAGAGGAAGCACCGGCUAACUCCGUGCCAGCAGCCGCGGUAAGACGGAGGGUGCAAGCGUUGUCCGGAAUUAUUGGGCGUAAAGAGUUCGUAGGCGGUUAUUUAAGUCUGAUGUUAAAGCCCGAAGCUUAACUUCGGCAUGGCAUUGGAAACUGGAUGACUAGAGUGCGGUAGAGGUAUCGGGAAUUCCAGGUGUAGCGGUGAAAUUCGUAGAUAUUCGGAAGAACACCAGUGGCGAAGGCGGCUCACUGGACGUGUAUUGACGCUGAGGCGCGAGAGCAAGGGGAGCAAACAGGAUUAGAUACCCCCGUAGUCCCUGAGCGGGCUGGCAAGGCGCAU